GGAGGCGUGUUCCGAACUGGCUAAGGGGCCGGUCUCGAAAACCGGUGAGCAUAUUUGCUCGUGUGGGUUCGAAUCCCACCGCCUCCGCCA
RNAcentral lists this transfer RNA (90 nucleotides) under Thermotogota bacterium ADurb.Bin062. Its description in RNAcentral is "Thermotogae bacterium ADurb.Bin062 tRNA-Ser". It matches the Rfam family "tRNA". From Rfam's summary of the family: Transfer RNA (tRNA) molecules are approximately 80 nucleotides in length. Their secondary structure includes four short double-helical elements and three loops (D, anti-codon, and T loops). Further hydrogen bonds mediate the characteristic L-shaped molecular structure. tRNAs have two regions of fundamental functional importance: the anti-codon, which is responsible for specific mRNA codon recognition, and the 3' end, to which the tRNAs corresponding amino acid is attached (by aminoacyl-tRNA synthetases). tRNAs cope with the degeneracy of the genetic code in two manners: having more than one tRNA (with a specific anti-codon) for a particular amino acid; and 'wobble' base-pairing, i.e. permitting non-standard base-pairing at the 3rd anti-codon position. Lineage: Bacteria; Thermotogati; Thermotogota. RNAcentral also lists the same sequence under 2 other names. The record is from RNAcentral.